RNAcentral lists this ribosomal RNA (315 nucleotides) under Triticum aestivum (bread wheat). Its description in RNAcentral is "partial small subunit ribosomal RNA". Lineage: Eukaryota; Viridiplantae; Streptophyta; Magnoliopsida; Poales; Poaceae. The record is from RNAcentral.
AUGCCAUCCCAUCUUUCGACCAUGCCCGUCAUCCGCCACAACCGUGUCAGGAUGGGACUCCACCUGCUUUCACGCGCGCGGACGAAGGACACCCUGCUCUGGCUCCGAUCGGUGAUCGACUCUGGGGUUCAGGAGCAGCAGCAGCCGGACGACGCCACAACGAGCAGCGAUGCCAGCAGCGCAACAACGGCGGACCCGGCAGAGUGGAGUCGUGUCCGGCGAGAAGCGGGCUCAGCGGGGCGCCACGCUGUGCGGCCAUGUCAGAUGAUUCCAUGGAUUUCCACAGGGAAGGAACCAGGAGGAGAGGACUCUUAA